Molecule: transfer RNA, 75 nt
Filed under: Dialister sp.
Lineage: Bacteria; Bacillati; Bacillota; Negativicutes; Veillonellales; Veillonellaceae
Description: tRNA-Ile
Rfam family: tRNA
About the family: Transfer RNA (tRNA) molecules are approximately 80 nucleotides in length.
Source: RNAcentral
ACUCGUGUAGCUCAAUGGUUAGAGCGCGCGACUUAUAAUCGCGUGACGAAGGUUCAACUCCUUCCACGAGUACCA